UUUUUUUUUUUUUUUUUUUGAGGUGUAAAGGUUUGGGCAGAGCUGCUGUAACCUCGGAGUAUUAGAGGACAACUGAUCUGGCAACGCGGAUUAGGUAACAGGAGAGAGUGCGCUGUCAGCGGAUAUGACUGUACACCAGAUAAUGUGCGGGUCUUUUUUUGUUUUUGUUGUUUGGCGCUAAUCAUCGGUAUUUGCUCUGACAAUGGUAACAUGUGAAGCUCCGAGAUUUCACCAGGUGGCCCGUCGAUGGAGAGCUUACUAUUGGACUAUUUGCGAUUUGCGCUUCAUUUGCAAUUGCAAUCUUGUACAUUAGAUCGUUAAAGCCCAAUUCUAAAGUUCGGGGCCGUAGUUCUCUUACCCCUUUGGACUUCAUGCCUCGUCAACAAUGAUGGGGAGCGUUACCCAAGCUGGAGAAUUUUUUUGUAUCCGCAUGCCUGUUGCUACCCUCCUCAAGUAAUUGUUUGUUUGA
This 469-nucleotide unclassified non-coding RNA is filed under the name Hevea brasiliensis (rubber tree). The record is from RNAcentral. Lineage: Eukaryota; Viridiplantae; Streptophyta; Magnoliopsida; Malpighiales; Euphorbiaceae.